UCAUCUGGUCUUCAGUGACUCUGAUCCUUUUCACCAAAGUUUGGAUCUCUUGCUAUCUUCUUGACAUGACCCCACUGGACCUUGGGUUUUAUUUAGAUCUUCUGUUCUUUGGCCCAUUUUGGUUUCUCUCUCUCCUACUCUGACUCUGCUUCCGUUAUACCUAGAGAUUUUCUCCAUUUUCCCCCCUUUCUCAUACAUAGGAGAGCUGCUUCUUUCCACAGACAAGCAUAGAAACUUGGCAAACAGCGGGAAGCUCAGUCUGUGUUGCCAUGUCAACCGAAAGCAGAGCUGACUUUUCAGCAUCACACACUAAUCGUUCCGGUUUAUGGACUGGCAGGGCCCUAGAAGACCAUUUUCAUCCACUGGAAAGUCUCCCGUCAGUUAUGAACGGGCUCCAAGGCUAGCCCAUCCUGGCUGUGGCAAAAGAAAGGAGGAGAUUCAUUCAGAGUUCUAGAAGGACCUCUUGGUUUAGGUAUAUAUUUAUGAGCAGAAGAACAGAUUCAACAGGAGCCCGGGGAUUUACAGAGUUUCAGCAAACGGGACAGAGCAGAUCCGUGUUGGGUGCAUGCGGAGGGGAGCCUGCCAGUGACCCACUGAAACCAUCCGAGUUCUGGUGAUGGAACUGAUUCCAGCAUAGGUUCCAGACAGAAAUGCAGCUGCGUCUUUGCUUCGUUUGACUGAAGCAAAUGCAAUCAGUUUUCAUCUUCUCUGACAUUUAUUAUUUUGGGGAGGGGGUGUCAGGGGAAGGGACAUUAGCCACAAAUAUGACAAGGUUAAAGGACAAUGAGUCUGGUCUGAAGCAUUGCAUUCUAGACGGUUGACAUCCUAAGUUCAUCAAUCAAUAUUAUUGACUUGGCCGUGCUUCAAGAUGGAGUAAUUUCUAUAAUGCAAUUUAGCCUGUGCCACAAAAUGGUGUGUUGGGGAUAAAAUGUCUGAAGCCAGUCAGUCGUCUGUGAGAUACAUUUUGGGAAACAUUCUUAAUCUUAAAAAUAGAACUUGAAGUGUUUGCAGCCAGGAAGAUGCUUAAUUAGAUUCACAUAGGAGCCACCAGCUGUUCAUAAGACAAACAGAAAUGUCUGAAGUCUCUUCCGGUUCUCUGGAGACAGGCAGAAUGGCUCCCCUUUUCCGAGCCAAAUCUGAGAGACCCUUCAGUGAAAAGCUCUCCAGGCCUGAGUGGCCAAGCUCGGCACACAGAGCUCACGUUUUCCUCUUCCUCUGGCCUCUUGCUCUGCUCUCAAAACCUGAGGAGCUUCUAGUUAUCCUGGUAAAAUGUCCACAAAGUGACACUCCCAUGGAACGGGCC
Long non-coding RNA from Canis lupus familiaris (dog), 1303 nucleotides. RefSeq lists it as uncharacterized. The record is from RefSeq and is a predicted model, not a curated record. The transcript has 3 exons. Lineage: Eukaryota; Metazoa; Chordata; Mammalia; Carnivora; Canidae.